RNAcentral lists this small RNA (206 nucleotides) under Arabidopsis thaliana (thale cress). RNAcentral's name for it is "ATSL028250". The record is from RNAcentral. Lineage: Eukaryota; Viridiplantae; Streptophyta; Magnoliopsida; Brassicales; Brassicaceae.
CCUUUUGGUUAAGAAGUGUUUUUUUUAAUAGAUAUAGGCAUAAAUUAGUAUACCUAAUUUUGGUUUUGUUAGGUUUUCUAUUUCUUUAACGGUAAAAGGCAAAUCUUUUCUGACACAUGUAGACAUUUGAUCAAUAGACUUGACACAUCGCACAAUCUUAUGAGUUACUAACUUUGAAAACCAUACUUUAUAUAAUAAAAUAAAUA